UACAGAGGGUGCGAGCGUUAAUCGGAGUUACUGGGCGUAAAGGGCGCGUAGGCGGUUUGGCAAGUGAGAUGUGAAAUCCCUGGGCUUAACCUAGGAAUGGCAUAUUAGACUGCGAGACUAGAGUGCAGUAGAGGGUGGCGGAAUUUCCGGUGUAGCGGUGAAAUGCGUAGAGAUCGGAAGGAACAUCAGUGGCGAAGGCGGCCACCUGGACUGAAACUGACGCUGAGGCGCGAAAGCGUGGGGAGCAAACAGG
This 253-nucleotide ribosomal RNA is filed under the name uncultured bacterium. RNAcentral describes it as "partial 16S ribosomal RNA". It matches the Rfam family "Bacterial small subunit ribosomal RNA", at positions 524 to 776 of the family's 1533-position model. The record is from RNAcentral.